Molecule: long non-coding RNA, 224 nt
Organism: Terrapene triunguis (Three-toed box turtle)
Lineage: Eukaryota; Metazoa; Chordata; Testudines; Emydidae
Exons: 3
Source: RefSeq, a predicted model, not a curated record
GCAGCUCUACCACAGCCGGACCUCCUGGGUCUACUCCAUCGGCAACGUGCUCAUGUCCAUCUCGGGGAAGACCCCCCAGCUAUACUCCCACAGCCUGACCAGCCUGUACGAGCAGAGCAAGAGGGAGCAGCGCCCCGGCGUCCACAUCGCCCCCCACCGGCUGCUGCCCAGGAAAAACGCCACCUCCACGAAGAUCCCCGACACCAAGGGCUGCCGGGCCUGCU